UGCCUAACACAUGCAAGUCGAACGGUAACAGGUCUUCGGAUGCUGACGAGUGGCGCACGGGUGAGUAACGCGUGGAUAUCUGCCUAUGAGUGGGGGACAACUUUCGGAAACGAAAGCUAAUACCGCAUAAUCUCUACGGAGCAAAGCAGGGGACCUUUCGGGGCCUUGUGCUUAUAGAUGAGUCCGCGUCAGAUUAGCUAGUUGGUGGGGUAAGAGCCUACCAAGGCGAUGAUCUGUAGCUGGUUUGAGAGGAUGAUCAGUCACACUGGAACUGAGACACGGUCCAGACUCCUACGGGAGGCAGCAGUGGGGAAUUUUGCACAAUGGGCGCAAGCCUGAUGCAGCGAUGCCGCGUGUGGGAAGAAGGCCCUUGGGUUGUAAACCACUUUCAAUUGGGAAGAAGGGAUGAGUAUUAAUAAUUCUCUGACUUGACGGUACCUUUAGAAGAAGCACCGGCUAAUUUCGUGCCAGCAGCCGCGGUAAUACGAAAGGUGCAAGCGUUGUUCGGAUUUACUGGGCGUAAAGAGAUCGUAGGUGGUUUGUUAAGUUGGAUGUGAAAUCCCGGGGCUCAACCUCGGAACUGCAUCCAAAACUGGCGGACUUGAGUUCGGGAGGGGUAAGCGGAAUUCCGUGUGUAGCAGUGAAAUGCGUAGAUAUACGGAGGAACACCUGAGGCGAAGGCGGCUUACUGGACCGAUACUGACACUGAGGAUCGAAAGCGUGGGUAGCAAACAGGAUUAGAUACCCUGGUAGUCCACGCCCUAAACGAUGUCAACUAGCCGUUGCGGGUAUCGACCCCUGCAGUGGCGCAGCUAACGCGAUAAGUUGACCGCCUGGGGA
RNAcentral lists this ribosomal RNA (840 nucleotides) under uncultured bacterium. RNAcentral's name for it is "bacterial SSU rRNA". It matches the Rfam family "Bacterial small subunit ribosomal RNA", at positions 45 to 879 of the family's 1533-position model. The record is from RNAcentral.